Molecule: ribosomal RNA, 468 nt
Filed under: uncultured bacterium
Lineage: Bacteria
Description: partial 16S ribosomal RNA
Rfam family: Bacterial small subunit ribosomal RNA
Source: RNAcentral
GACGAACGCUGGCGGCGUGCUUAACACAUGCCAGUCGAACGGAAAGGCCCUGCUUUUGUUGGGUGCUCGAGUGGCGAACGGGUGAGUAACACGUGAGUAACCUGCCCUUGACUUUGGGAUAACUUCAGGAAACUGGGGCUAAUACCGGAUAGGAGCUCCUGCUGCAUGGUGUGGGUUGGAAAGUUUCGGCGGUUGGGGAUGGACUCGCGGCUUAUCAGCUUGUUGGUGGGGUAGUGGCUUACCAAGGCUUUGACGGGUAGCCGGCCUGAGAGGGUGACAGGCCACCUUGGGACUGAGAUACGGCCCAGACUCCUACGGGAGGCAGAAGUGGGGAAUAUUGCACAAUGGGCGGAGGCCUGAUGCAGCAACGCCGCGUGCGGGAUGACGGCCUUCGGGUUGUAAACCGCUUUCGCCUGUGACGAAGCGUGAGUGACGGUAAUGGGUAAAGAAGCACCGGCUAACUACGUG